Molecule: long non-coding RNA, 516 nt
Filed under: Mus pahari (shrew mouse)
Lineage: Eukaryota; Metazoa; Chordata; Mammalia; Rodentia; Muridae
Description: RIKEN cDNA 4930538E20 gene (MGP_PahariEiJ_G0002416.1)
Source: RNAcentral
AAGGGUUCUUGAGCUUCCAUCCGAAAACUGCCACACAUCUUGAGCUCGCGGGGUACUACGCCGAACGGGGGUGUGUGAAGGACCUGGAAAGAGGUUGGAGACAGAGGAAGGAAAAGGGAAAUAAUGGAAGAACAGAAAGGACUUUUAGACACAACAGGCACAGCAGAAAAUCCAAAGGAGACAACUGAGGGGCGGCUCCUGGGCUCACAGGUACCUAGUGGAUCCCACUAAGGACAGAGCAGAAGUUUUGAACAGUGUACAAGAAUUACCUUCCAACUGAUCUAAACCUGUAAAUGCCUAAAAUUACUUCCAAGGCUCAAGCGCUUGCAGUGUUGCGUCCAAGUGAGGAAGCUCAUUAGUCAAGUAAAUGGCUGGCAAUGUCUGUCUUAGUCUUUUUAGGUUUGUUUGUUUUUUAUUAUUAUUAUUUUUUUUUAAUGCUCAUCAUUGAGAUUGUGUUCAAUUGUUUUCAGCAUUCUUGCAACGUUUCCCUUAAUAAAGACCUGUAAACUGGGAAAA